GGAGUUUUGGGGGACACAGCUGGGACAGCUGAACCCGAGUGACCACAAGGGUAUUCUCUAUUAUGUGGUGUCGUGCUCAGCAUAUAAAUCUGGGGGAAGAAUUAAGGGGGGAUGUUGGAGGUGAUGGUAUUUGCCUUCCCAGGUGGUGCUGCACGUGAUGGAGCCCUGUUUCCUUGGACGUGGCUGAACACCCACCUCCCACGGGAAGGGAUCUUGGCUGUAGAAGACAGCUGAACUGAAGAAAUCUUCUGCCUGAAGCCAAAACAAGCAGAAAAUCACUGACAGAAAUAGGUGGGAGCCUUGAAACAGAAGGUGUGCUCGUUACUCAUUUCAGAGGUGAAAAAAGGGCAUUUAAAGAAGACAGACAUCUAGGGCACUUCUUGGCAUCCCCAGGAAAAUCGUAUGGGAUUAAAAACCCACAGCAGAAUUGCUGGAAGCUGCUUCUCGAGGAUUACAACUUCACCUUUUGCUUUUAGGGAUGCUUGUUUACUAUCCAUGUGGUAACCUCUGGACAGCCGGUAAUCCAUUCAUUAUCCCCACUGAUUGAGUGAGGGAGUAGUGCAGCGGUAACUACUUCACUCGGCUGAAGGCAGACAACAAAAGGAGGAAAAUGAUGAAUUCGGACAAUUUAACCUCCCAAAGCUUCCUCUCUGCAAUUCACAGCAACGCCAGCAAUUUAUUCUCAGGUCUCCAGUUUGUUCAGUCCUUCAAGCCACUAAUCAUCCCCUGCUACUCCCUGGUGGUUUUCAUCGGUGUCAUUGGGAAUUACCUGCUCAUUUAUGUUAUCUGCAAGACAAAAAAAAUGCACAAUGUCACCAACUUUCUCGUGGGCAAUCUGGCUUUCUCAGACAUGCUCAUGUGUGCAACCUGUGUGCCCCUGACACUCGCCUACGCCUUCGAGCCCCGGGGGUGGGUGUACGGGCGCUUCAUGUGCUACUUUGUUUUCCUGAUGCAGCCCGUCACGGUGUUCGUGUCUGUGUUCACCCUGACUGUCAUAGCUGUGGACAGGUACUGUGCCAUGGUGUACCCCUUCCGCAGGAGGCUCACCAUCCCUGUCUGUGCUUACAUCCUGGCUGCUAUUUGGCUGCUGAGCUGCACCCUGGCUGCCCCAGCCUUAGUCCACACUUACCACGCGGAGUUCCCGGAGCUGGACUUCUCCAUCUGCGAGGAGUUUUGGUUCCACAUGAAAAGGGAUCGCUUGGCUUACGCCUACAGCACCCUCAUCAUCACCUAUGUGUUGCCUUUGGCUGUCAUCUCCCUGUCCUACCUGAGGAUCUCAGUCAAGCUGAAGAACCGUGUGGUGCCGGGCAAUGUCACCCAGGGCCAGGCCGAGUGGGACCGUGCACGGAGGAGGAAGACUUUUCGCCUGCUGGUCUUAGUGGUGGCAGCCUUUGGAGUCUGUUGGCUGCCUCUGCACAUCUUCAACGUGAUAAAGGACAUAGACAUCAGCCUGAUUGACAAGCAGUAUUUCAACUUUAUCCAGCUGCUGUGCCACUGGUUUGCAAUGAUGUCUGCUUGCACCAACGCCUUCCUCUAUGCUUGGCUCCACGACAGCUUCAGGGGAGAACUGAAGAAAAUGUUUGCCUGGAGAAAGAAGAAAAUUGGACCCGCUACAAACUGCAUUAUGGCCAGUGUGGUGCUGUAAACGAGGUCUGGUGGGAGUGCAUUUCCUUUGUACAGUAACAUUAAAGACACAGCAGCUCUGCACUGAAACAUUUGCUGUGUGGACCUGCAGCUGGCCUGGCCUGCCCCUUGGAGCUCUGGCUUUUGUGUGUACAGCAAGUAAAUACUUCUCCCCAUGCUCAGGGACCUCACUGUGGGUCACAGCCAUCACUGACUCUGUUCCUUUGUACCUGAUUUCCCUCCAGAUCAAGAUGCUUUACUGGAAGUCCCAGAGAGGAGCUGCAGGUGCAUCAGAGGGAACGUCUAAAAGGGGAUUUUUAAUCCCCACAUCUACAUUUCCUGCAAUUCCUAUGUUUCCAUGAGGCACUGGAGACCUUUCAGCAGCGAGCAGGACUGCAGAGAGAAGCUGGUGGUGAUGAGAUCUGCCUCUCCUGCUGAGCACAGUCCUUGGCUUCCAGACAACCUGCUGGAAAGGUGUUUGUGACUCACAGCAGCAGGAGGGGUUUGUGAGAGCCUGGGGACGUUUGUGGUGCUGAGGGUCACACUUGCCCAGCUGAGGUUCUCCCCAGCAGCAUCCCCAGGAAGGUGCUGUGCUCAGCUGGAGCAGCUGGGGCUCUGGUGAGGCCGGGCAGCAUGAGGGGUUGGCUCUCUUCCUGCAGCUUCUCAGCCACAGGGAGCUGUGUUUAUUUACCCAGCACAGCCACAAGGCAGGGCAAUGCUCUGCUGAGAACUCGACAGCAGAAGGCCCCCGGAGCCGUGAUGGAAUGUGGCAGGAAUGUGGCAGGAAUGUGGCAGGAUGCUGUCAGCCACAGCUCCAGUUGGUGUGACCAGCUGCCCUUGGGAGUGGGAAGGUGAAGCUACAGCCUGUGUUGUAAACCAAGUCCAUCCUGGGCUCGUGGAGGCAGGGCAAGAAGGAAAGAAGAAAUCAUUACUUUUUGGACUUGAAGCAAACGAUGCCCACCCCAAGGCUAAGUCUGUGAUCCCCCAGAGGUGGUCCUGUGAGAAUGCAGGAGUCACUCAAGCCCUCCUGCGCUCCCUCACUUGCGGUGUGCCACUUCAGUGGAUUUUUGAUUGUGGUUUUCCUCCCUCCCCUCAGCCCUACAGUGCAACAGGGGCAGGCCAAGCACGUGCAUGAACCACUGGUGUGAGGUCCACAUGAGCAGAGCUGUCAGUGCACAGUCUAGAGGCAGGUGAGUCUGAGGGUACAUGCACCUGUGAAAGGGUUUUUUUAUAAAAAUAAUCGAAAGAUUGAGGAUGGAAUUCCGGGGCAAGUGUUCAACCAACCCACUCCUCAGCAACUGGAGGCAGCUCUGCAGGAAGUAAGAUGAAAAUAGUUCAAAUAUUAUGUGCAAGAGUUAGCUAUGAGCUGUAUCACCAAUAUAUAUUAUAUACAAGGUAUUUAAAAUCAUUAACAAGACAAAAUCUUCAAUGCUAAGCUUUGGAAUUAUUUUCCCUCAAUUACUGGAUCAUUUUAAAUUCAACAUCUGUCGUUAAUAUGCAUAAAUUAAAAAAUAAAAAUAGAUUUGAAACCAUCUAAAGCACUAGGCAGCAUAUGGCAGACCUGUUUAAUCUUAACAAGUCAAUAAUAUUAUCAUUAUGAAUCGCUUCUCCGUUAAAAUGUGUAUUUAUAUCUGUUGUAUAAAUGAUGUUUAUUUGUAAAAGCCUUUUGUGCCACCCAUGCAAUUGUCACUUGUCACAGCUAAUUCUAGAUUGUUUCGAAAAAACAAUUUUCCUCUUGGAAAAUUGCCACAGACUGAGGACAGACAGAAAUGCAAAUCAUCACCAGUCAAAGUUCUGACAACAUCACACACAAAGUGCAGGAAGAUGUGGAAGACCUGUGUUUUGCUGUAGUUAAAAAUGAUGGGUUUCUUUAUUUUUAAGGCAUUGUGGAAAGCACUGUUCCAAACACUUUUCACCCCCCAAGAUCUACAUUCUUUCCUGGUUUCUAACAUUCUUCCUUCAUUGCUAAAUGAAGAAACAGGUUUUCCCAUGGAAGAGUUUACAGUGGCACUGCUCACCUGGAAAUGCUGCUGCCCAGGGACAGGGUGAGGACACAGGAGAAGUGGGCAUUAAAAGCCAGACUUCUCAGACCCUGAAAUCAUUAAAUUAUUGGUUAAGGGCAACAGAACUUUGAAAAGUUGUCUUUCAGUCCUUGACUGAGAAGGUUUAUCUCCUUCCCCCAUGCAUGUUAAGGAAAGGCUCUUGAAUUUCAAGUCACUAUUUUUCAUGCAGACAUCUCCCUUCAGCUCGGUGUGAGGCAGUCACAUCUCAGAGAUGCAGCAGGAGAAGUCACACCUUCACUUUGCCCCCUCAGGAGGGGCUGUCAGCAGGGUCAGCCCAGACAGCAGCUCAUUCUGCACAUCAGCAUUCAACAUUUUGGGUCAAACCCUCUCCAAGGGCAUUGUACAAUCAGCUUGGGAUGCUGUCUGUGCUCCUGUGUGUUCACUCAGUCUUACAAACUUUAGAUCUGAUUUGUGGGUUUAGCUCAGAUCUGCUUCCCAAGGAUUCAGUGGCACAGUAACAGCAGCCUCAGGUUAAAUGUCUUCUGUGAACGUGUGAACUCCAUUGGCAAGCAAAGAACAACCAACAAAUCCCAAACCCCCAACAGGUCAAAGGAAUGAAUUCACAUAACAAUUCAACAAUUCUUAAAAUGCCUUGGUUCCUGGGGAUUAGGUCACUUCUAAGAGGGGUAGAAGAUGUUUUAAUGUUUGCCCACCACUGAAGGAGGUAUGUCCAAGUGGAAUAUUUGGUGGCUUUCUAAACCAUUAUGGGUUUGCUGAGUGAUCAGAAAAGGACAAAAAAAUUGGGGGCAAGAAGAAAAUGCACAGGAUUUUUAGUGUUAAAAUGAAUUACCUGGACAAGCUGAAUCUGCAAUGUGAUGUUCAACAAACAUCCUAAUUUGCAGUGCUGAAAAUAGAGAUAAUUAGGCAAGCACUUUCACUUCCAGAUCCAACAUGAGGUAUUUGAAAACAGAGGCGGAAGGUGGGUUGGGAGAAGGCCAGACUGGCACAAGAAUAGUGUUAGACUUUCUGUCAGCAGUGAGUAAAACCAAAUGAAGUGUCAGCACAGCUUUCUGCAUCUGAAACUAUUUACAUUCAAAUAUUGAGACUCAAGGAGAUGGAUAAAGAUAAUGUAGAGCUACAGUGAGUUUCACAAUUCAUCUAUUUAAAAAUAGCUGCAAAAAUAGCAAGCUCUAGAGAUUAUCCUAAAUUGCAGAUAUCUGAAACAUGGAUCUGCAGUUUGAUUUCACCUUUUAUUGCAGAAAGUCCAAGCUCUUUGAAACAGAGUUUAGAGCAGAGACAAGUGUGUCCCUAUUGUGUCUUCUUAAAAGGAGACCAGUGAUUUAACCAAGCCACUGUGAUAUUCUGCUGUAGAUAAUAGGUCCAAAAUGAGCUUUGAGGUUUCUCUCUCCACAAGAUUUGAAUUUGACAUUCACAGCAUAACCAGAGGGUAGAAAACAGCGAAUCAUGUAGGUAGAAACUCUUGCUAAUGUCCCAUUUACAGUAACUAAACAAGUUUAAUCCCAAAAGAAAUGAAAGAGAGCUUUGAAGUGCUCUGUUUAACCUCUGUUAGCUAGAGGUGUUUUCUAUGAAAUUCAAAAUAUGUUGUCAGGGAGAGCAACAUCCUUUUAGGAAAUAUUCUAGCCUUGUGAGCUGGAUAUUGCCACUUUUAACCACCAGGACACGUUUUAGUAACUGCAGAAACACAGCAAGGAAGAUCUUACAACAAGAUAUGGCAGAGUUUAGCUGUUCAGAAGCGUGCUGAUUUCUCUUAUUAAUGGCUGGGAAUCCAGCAGGCACCUCUUACCCACUGAAUCUCAACCCUGCACAGGUACUUCCCAACAGGCACUGACGAGACAUUUGAGAAUCCACUUUGGAAUAAGCAGCAGUGUGGGUAAGCUGUCACUGCAUCUGGAAAAGAGAGAGAAGCCUGAGAGGAACCUGUGAGGUCUCUGACUCAGAGCAUUUAAGAACUGUGUUAGGCCUGGUUCCAAAUAGCUCCUUCUUCUUCUGCAGUGUAUUUGGACACACUGUCUGAGCAGGCAAGGAGCAAACACAGGUUACUCCUCAAAGCUUGCAUGGGGCACCUCCAGCUACAGUCACACUUUGGGCUGAGAACCUUCAUCCCACCUCCAUCCACAUCAGCAAUAGUCUUGAUUUCAAAUCAGGAUAACAGGAAGUUUACAAGGGGUCCCUUCUUUUCCUUUCUCCUCCUCAACACCAGUAGAAGAAAAACAGAAUAAGGUGAACUGCCAGCCUGUUUGUUUUGUGUUAUACAAUAAUCCCAAGAACAGUUUCUAACAAGUGGAAGAACCCAAGAUCUGAGAGAUCUCCUCCUAAAGCUCUGUCAGACUGAAGUCCAUGAAGCAAAACCCACAAAUAUAUAUAAUUAUCAACCUAAUAAAAAGCUAAAACAAAACUCUGAAUCAGAGCUAGUAGGUAUAUCAAGUACCAUCUCUUCUCAAGAAAUAAUUAUCAGUUUCUCUUCAACAUUCAGCAUGAAUGCAUUUGAUAAAAUUAAACGAGCCUCCCGAGGUUGUGUUAUUAGGAGAUACUAUUGCAUGAAGUCAGCUAGAGCCCACAUAGGCAAGACAGUGAUUAGAAUAACUAUCUGAUACUAAUAAAGCAGCUUAAUAAAACAGAAUUAAAAGGCCUUUCCUAAUCUGUUAGGAAAAUAAAUACUGAAAAGAAUUAAUGAAAAUGAAUUAAAACUAUUCGGGGGGAGGCAUAAAGGAUUGAUAUUCCACCUAAUCUUAGACAUCCCUGUUCUCCCAGAGUACUAAAAAGCUGUCCCCAGGCCAUUAUAUUCUUUCUAAGAAACUUUCAGAUUUCAUCCUCAUGGAUUUAUUAACUCCUUUUUGUUCCAAAUGGGUCUCUUGCUCCUACUGAUAUUACCUCUUCUGUUUCCUCUUGCACUCACCUCUCAAAAGAGGCACUGUGAGCCCCACCUCUGCUUCAGACUGUGUCAUCUGUCUUCUGUUUGGAGACCUCCUCCACUCGUGUAAAAUGCUGCAGGAUAACAGGCUCCUGAUGCUGCCCCAGCUGGCACAGCCUCCCAUCCCUGUGCCUGGAAUCUGUCUGAGCAAGAAGACAAAUCAAUACUAAUUAAAGGUCCCCUGGAAAGUAAAUUAUUGCUUGCAGUGUGGCAAGGAGCCCUGUUGCCUGUUUGUGCCUCUGGUUUAUCACCCCACAUGAACAAGGGUUUGUACCUGGAACCAGGAAUCUAUAGCUGAUAAAGGUCACAGCUCCUGUUGGGAUAAAAGGAGCCUACAGACCUCAGAGAAAAGUGGGUUUUUCAUUUCCACACAUGCAGCAGGUAAGAGUGACCAUUUCAGCUGUCUGGCUGCUGAUUUCCAGCAGCUCCCAAGGAUUGGAGCAUACACAGAAAUAUUCAAGAGCAUUUUGUGGGGUACCUGGAGUGACCUCCCAUUUCCUGCAGGAAGGAUGCUUUCUGGUAUCUGGCCUUCCUCUCUAGCAGACAAGAGCUAGAACAAGAUAAAUAGAAUCAGAGAAAAUUAUGUUAAAAAUCAGAAAUGUUGCUUAGUGCAGGUUGCCUCUCACAAGCUAGGGCAGAAAAUUCUGUUUCCUCGUACCUCUGCUAAAAGGUUUGUGAAAGUGCUCUAUCAGUAUUGCACUGGCUUCAUGUGCAGCUCAGAGGGAAGGUUCAAUAGUGACCAGCUGCAGAAAGAGGAUGUUUAAAAUGUGUCAGACCUCUUAAUUACAGAUGAUCAUUUAAUGAUUUCAGCUUUUGCUUUGAAAUGAGUCAGUGCCAUUAGUGGAGGCAGAUCCUUCCUUUAUCACAGUCCCUUCCAGCAAGGUUUGCUCUCACAGAACAUGAACCAUUUUGUUUAAUUGCUCUGUGAGAGUCCAGGACAUCAGGAAAUGGAACAUCCCACACUGGCUCAAACAUCUGUCUGAGUGUUGUGCUGCAGGAAUGUCACUCCAUCACAAGCACACAAAAGCAGUUUGGGUCAGAAAACAGCCCCCUGGCUUGUAGGAUGAUUGCUACAUGUCCAUGAGUCCAGCAGGUUCACUCAGCCUGUUUGGCCUGGGGCACUGGCAGAGCUGGAUGCAGAGCUGACUUUUCCCCCUUUCCAAUGAGAAGGUCCUUUGAGAAGGUCUCCAAGCUGUGAUUUUAGGUGGUGUUUAUAGUUUUCUCUCUAUCCAGAGCCCAUUCAUAAAAAGAGACAAGUUUCUCCAGAGAGGAUUUGCAGUUGACAAAUCCCUUUGGACUCUUAAUCAUUCUCUUGUUUUCUUUCAUUGCUCACCAAGAUUUUGUGUUUUCCAAGAUUUUUCUGGCAUUUUGAAGGUAAGCUGACUGAUAGACGAAAACCUCCAUUAGUCUUUUCCUCCCUUUCUUAGAAAAUGAAUAGAUUUGCUCUUUUCCAGUCUUCUGAAAGAACUUGGGGCUUCUCAGCUUUUUGUGCUGAAGAUUCCCCUGUUAAUGGUAAUGAGUCAGUAACUUCUUGGUCUCCUUACCUUUGUUUCUCAAUGCUUAUUUAGAACUUUCUUGCUACUCCUGAUAUCACUUGUACAAUUCUGUUCUGUACCUUCCCUUUUUACAAUUUUGUCUCCUCAUUCUCAUGCUGUUCCUUGAUACUUGUCUCAGGAGCCUCCUUUAGUUGUUACUUUCUGUAGGCAUCUUCUCUGUCCUUAAGGUGAUUGAAGAACUCAUGACUUUUCCCCAUUUUUUUUUAUUCCUUUCAGAGGGAAUUUUUAGAAAGAAACUCCCAUUUGAGCAAUACUGUCAAGAAAAGUAAAGAAAGAUACCCUCCAAAAAUACAAACUGGGAGGAUUUUUAGUGUUGCUUUUGUGUGUGACCUGAUCCUGGCAGUAAAUGCUUCCUAGACUGAUAAUUUACUCUUUCAAGCAAGAUCUUUUAAAACUUUCUUCUGAAGAAAGAAGAACCAAAACACAAAAAAACCCCAACCCAAAAUAAAAGCAAGAGGCCAGUUUAAUUUUAAGGGAUUGUAAACAAGCUCUAGCAAGUCCAUCUGCAUGCAGCAACUUUCAAGACCAUAAUAUUAAUCAUGACAAUAUACUUAAAAUUCAAAUUAAAAUAACAUUGACCAAUAACUCUACCUGCAUUUCCUAUGGAGGGGUUUUCUGGGUUAUCCCAACACUGAGGGCAGUUAAAAAGGGGGCCACACAAUCAUUAACAAAUAUGGACUUAAAAUGUGAUGCUGGGACAAUUUUGUUUAUUUUGCUUAACUGUGAGAAUCCUUUAUGUUUUUCAGGCAGUUGCAGUGGACUUGAUAUGCAGAUGUUUUACUCAUUUGAGGAAUUAAAGUGAUUAAAACUGUU
Pipra filicauda (Wire-tailed manakin) is the source of this 8927-nucleotide RNA transcript. It is a transcript of the gene named prolactin releasing hormone receptor, with no coding region annotated. The record is from RefSeq and is a predicted model, not a curated record. The transcript has 6 exons. NCBI's taxonomy places the organism in Eukaryota, Metazoa, Chordata, Aves, Passeriformes, Pipridae.